RNAcentral lists this non-coding RNA (30 nucleotides) under Rattus norvegicus (Norway rat). The record is from RNAcentral. Lineage: Eukaryota; Metazoa; Chordata; Mammalia; Rodentia; Muridae.
UGGAAAGUGACUAUUUCUGCCUGUAUGUAA